Molecule: ribosomal RNA, 1482 nt
Filed under: uncultured bacterium
Lineage: Bacteria
Description: bacterial SSU rRNA
Rfam family: Bacterial small subunit ribosomal RNA
Source: RNAcentral
AGAGUUUGAUCCUGGCUCAGGAUGAACGCUGGCGGUGUGCCUUAGGCAUGCAAGUCGAGCGGGCCGCCGUAAGGCGGCCAGCGGCGAACGGGUGAGUACAACACAGGAACGUACCCUAAAGUGUGGAAUAAUUCCGCGAAAGCGGAACUAAUACCGCAUAGUCUCGCAAGAGUAAAAGGUGUAACUACUUGCUUUAGGAGCGGCCUGUGGGCUAUCAGCUUGUUGGUAAGGUAAUGGCUUACCAAGGCGACGACGGCUAGGGGGCGUGAGAGCGUGGCCCCCCACAAGGACACUGAGAUACGGGUCCUACACCUACGGGUGGCAGCAACCGGGAAUAUUGCGCAAUGGGCGAAAGCCUGACGCAGCGACACCGCGUGGAGGAUGAAGGCCUUCGGGUUGUAAACUCCUUUUAUAUGGGAAUAAAGAAAAGGUGAGGGACUGAAGGUACCAUACGAAUAAGCACCUGCUAACUACGUGCCAGAAGCCUCGGUAAUACGUAGGGUGCAAGCGUUAUCCGGAAUUACUGGGCGUAAAGCGUCGCGUAGGCGGUUAUAUAAGUGCAUGGUGAAAGCCUUGGGCUCAACUCAAGAAUUGCUGUGCAGACUGUAUAACUAGAGGACGUUAGAGGAUGCUGGAAUUCUCGGUGGAGGGGUGAAAUCCGUUGAUAUCGAGAAGAACACCAAGGGCGAAGGCAGGCAUCUGGGACGUUACUGACGCUGAGGCACGAAAGCUAGGGGAGCGAAAGGGAUUAGAGACCCCUGUAGUCCUAGUAGUAAACUAUGUUCACUAGUUGGUCCGGCAUAAGCCGGACUGACGCAAGCUAACGCGUUAAGCCGGACUGACGCAAGCUAACGCGUUAAGUGAACCGCCUGGGGAGUACGGCCGCAAGGUUAAAACUCAAAGGAAUUGACGGGGAGGCGCACAACCAGUGGAGCAUGUGGUUUAAUUCGAUACGAAGCGUUGGACCUUACCUGGGCUUGACAUGUACCUGCACGGUCAAUGAAAGUUGGCCUUCUUCGAGAGUGGUACACAGUUGCUGCAUGGCUGUCGUCAGUUCGUGUCGUGAAUUCUCGACUUAAGUGUGGCAACGAACGCAACCCGCAUCCUGUGUUAUAUUUUCACAGGAGACUGCCUCGCCACAAGCGGGGAGGAAGGAGCGGAUGACGUCAAGUCAGCAUGGUGCUUACGCCCAGGGCUACACACAUCCUACAAUGGAACCGACAAUGGGUUGCCAAGCCGCGAGGCGGAGCUAAUCCUCUAAACGGUUCCUCAGUUCGAUUGCAGGCUGCAAUUCGCCUGCAUGAAGCCGGAAUUGGUAGUAAUCGCGGGUCAGCAGACCGCGGUGAAUACGUUCUCGCCUCUUGUACACACUGCCCGUCAAGCGAGGAGAGUUGGGGGUACCCGAAGACGUUUGCCUAACCGCAAGGAAGGCGGCGUUGAAGGUAAACUCAGCGAUCAGCACUAAGUCGUAACAAGGUAACC